This 93-nucleotide non-coding RNA is filed under the name Neochlamydia sp. TUME1. The record is from RNAcentral. Lineage: Bacteria; Pseudomonadati; Chlamydiota; Chlamydiia; Parachlamydiales; Parachlamydiaceae.
UAGAUAUCAAAUCUUUAAGGUUUUAUUGAGAGGGGCAAGGACUCUGUCCUUGAUGCUAAAAAGAAGGAUUGAGUCCUUGCCCUCAUCACCUAA